UACAGAGGGUGCAAGCGUUGUUCGGAAUUAUUGGGCGUAAAGCGCGUGUAGGCGGCUUUGCAAGUCGGGUGUGAAAGCCCUCGGCUCAACCGAGGAAGUGCGCCCGAAACUGCAGAGCUUGAGUACCGGAGAGGAUGGCGGAAUUCCCCAAGUAGAGGUGAAAUUCGUAGAUAUGGGGAGGAACACCGGUGGCGAAGGCGGCCAUCUGGAUGGAUACUGACGCUGAGACGCGAAAGCGUGGGGAGCAAACAGG
RNAcentral lists this ribosomal RNA (253 nucleotides) under uncultured bacterium. RNAcentral's name for it is "partial 16S ribosomal RNA". It matches the Rfam family "Bacterial small subunit ribosomal RNA", at positions 524 to 776 of the family's 1533-position model. The record is from RNAcentral.